This 464-nucleotide ribosomal RNA is filed under the name uncultured bacterium. Its description in RNAcentral is "partial 16S ribosomal RNA". It matches the Rfam family "Bacterial small subunit ribosomal RNA", at positions 339 to 795 of the family's 1533-position model. The record is from RNAcentral.
CUACGGGGGGCUCCAGUGGGGAAUAUUGCACAAUGGGCGCAAGCCUGAUGCAGCCAUGCCGCGUGUAUGAAGAAGGCCUUCGGGUUGUAAAGUACUUUCAGCGGGGAGGAAGGGAGUAAAGUUAAUACCUUUGCUCAUUGACGUUACCCGCAGAAGAAGCACCGGCGAACUCCGUGCCAGCAGCCGCGGUAAUACGGAGGGUGCAAGCGUUAAUCGGAAUUACUGGGCGUAAAGCACACGCAGGCGGUUUGUUAAGUCAGAUGUGAAAUCCCCGGGCUCAACCUGGGAACUGCAUCUGAUACUGGCAAGCUUGAGUCUCGUAGAGGGGGGUAGAAUUCCAGGUGUAGCGGUGAAAUGCGUAGAGAUUUGGAGGAAUACCGGUGGCGAAGGCGGCCCCCUGGACGAAGACUGACGCUCAGGUGCGAAGGCGUGGGGAGCAAACAGGAUUAGAUACCCCAGUAGUC